AGGACGACUCCCCUUUCAUUCCUAAGCACCCACGCUCCCCCUGCUAAGCCUUUACUCUUGGAGAACUCCAUUCCAAUAUUGCACAUAAUCCAGUCAUGAAUUGGUGGAGUCCAUUUAGGAUGAACUAGCGUUCGAUUUAUCUUUUCCACUUGAGCCCAUUCUUCUUCCACCAACUGAGCCGUGAACCAUUCAUUAGCCUCUUUAACAGCAGUUUGCACCAAC
RNAcentral lists this long non-coding RNA (222 nucleotides) under Brassica napus (rape). Its description in RNAcentral is "long non-coding RNA (BNAP_LNC025155)". Lineage: Eukaryota; Viridiplantae; Streptophyta; Magnoliopsida; Brassicales; Brassicaceae. The record is from RNAcentral.